Molecule: ribosomal RNA, 2931 nt
Filed under: Escherichia coli
Lineage: Bacteria; Pseudomonadati; Pseudomonadota; Gammaproteobacteria; Enterobacterales; Enterobacteriaceae
Description: 23S ribosomal RNA
Rfam family: Bacterial large subunit ribosomal RNA
Source: RNAcentral
GGGUUGUGAGGUUAAGCGACUAAGCGUACACGGUGGAUGCCCUGGCAGUCAGAGGCGAUGAAGGACGUGCUAAUCUGCGAUAAGCGUCGGUAAGGUGAUAUGAACCGUUAUAACCGGCGAUUUCCGAAUGGGGAAACCCAGUGUGAUUCGUCACACUAUCAUUAACUGAAUCCAUAGGUUAAUGAGGCGAACCGGGGGAACUGAAACAUCUAAGUACCCCGAGGAAAAGAAAUCAACCGAGAUUCCCCCAGUAGCGGCGAGCGAACGGGGAGCAGCCCAGAGCCUGAAUCAGUGUGUGUGUUAGUGGAAGCGUCUGGAAAGGCGCGCGAUACAGGGUGACAGCCCCGUACACAAAAAUGCACAUGCUGUGAGCUCGAUGAGUAGGGCGGGACACGUGGUAUCCUGUCUGAAUAUGGGGGGACCAUCCUCCAAGGCUAAAUACUCCUGACUGACCGAUAGUGAACCAGUACCGUGAGGGAAAGGCGAAAAGAACCCCGGCGAGGGGAGUGAAAAAGAACCUGAAACCGUGUACGUACAAGCAGUGGGAGCACGCUUAGGCGUGUGACUGCGUACCUUUUGUAUAAUGGGUCAGCGACUUAUAUUCUGUAGCAAGGUUAACCGAAUAGGGGAGCCGAAGGGAAACCGAGUCUUAACUGGGCGUUAAGUUGCAGGGUAUAGACCCGAAACCCGGUGAUCUAGCCAUGGGCAGGUUGAAGGUUGGGUAACACUAACUGGAGGACCGAACCGACUAAUGUUGAAAAAUUAGCGGAUGACUUGUGGCUGGGGGUGAAAGGCCAAUCAAACCGGGAGAUAGCUGGUUCUCCCCGAAAGCUAUUUAGGUAGCGCCUCGUGAAUUCAUCUCCGGGGGUAGAGCACUGUUUCGGCAAGGGGGUCAUCCCGACUUACCAACCCGAUGCAAACUGCGAAUACCGGAGAAUGUUAUCACGGGAGACACACGGCGGGUGCUAACGUCCGUCGUGAAGAGGGAAACAACCCAGACCGCCAGCUAAGGUCCCAAAGUCAUGGUUAAGUGGGAAACGAUGUGGGAAGGCCCAGACAGCCAGGAUGUUGGCUUAGAAGCAGCCAUCAUUUAAAGAAAGCGUAAUAGCUCACUGGUCGAGUCGGCCUGCGCGGAAGAUGUAACGGGGCUAAACCAUGCACCGAAGCUGCGGCAGCGACGCUUAUGCGUUGUUGGGUAGGGGAGCGUUCUGUAAGCCUGUGAAGGUGUGCUGUGAGGCAUGCUGGAGGUAUCAGAAGUGCGAAUGCUGACAUAAGUAACGAUAAAGCGGGUGAAAAGCCCGCUCGCCGGAAGACCAAGGGUUCCUGUCCAACGUUAAUCGGGGCAGGGUGAGUCGACCCCUAAGGCGAGGCCGAAAGGCGUAGUCGAUGGGAAACAGGUUAAUAUUCCUGUACUUGGUGUUACUGCGAAGGGGGGACGGAGAAGGCUAUGUUGGCCGGGCGACGGUUGUCCCGGUUUAAGCGUGUAGGCUGGUUUUCCAGGCAAAUCCGGAAAAUCAAGGCUGAGGCGUGAUGACGAGGCACUACGGUGCUGAAGCAACAAAUGCCCUGCUUCCAGGAAAAGCCUCUAAGCAUCAGGUAACAUCAAAUCGUACCCCAAACCGACACAGGUGGUCAGGUAGAGAAUACCAAGGCGCUUGAGAGAACUCGGGUGAAGGAACUAGGCAAAAUGGUGCCGUAACUUCGGGAGAAGGCACGCUGAUAUGUAGGUGAAGUCCCUCGCGGAUGGAGCUGAAAUCAGUCGAAGAUACCAGCUGGCUGCAACUGUUUAUUAAAAACACAGCACUGUGCAAACACGAAAGUGGACGUAUACGGUGUGACGCCUGCCCGGUGCCGGAAGGUUAAUUGAUGGGGUCAGCGCAAGCGAAGCUCUUGAUCGAAGCCCCGGUAAACGGCGGCCGUAACUAUAACGGUCCUAAGGUAGCGAAAUUCCUUGUCGGGUAAGUUCCGACCUGCACGAAUGGCGUAAUGAUGGCCAGGCUGUCUCCACCCGAGACUCAGUGAAAUUGAACUCGCUGUGAAGAUGCAGUGUACCCGCGGCAAGACGGAAAGACCCCGUGAACCUUUACUAUAGCUUGACACUGAACAUUGAGCCUUGAUGUGUAGGAUAGGUGGGAGGCUUUGAAGUGUGGACGCCAGUCUGCAUGGAGCCGACCUUGAAAUACCACCCUUUAAUGUUUGAUGUUCUAACGUGGACCCGUGAUCCGGGUUGCGGACAGUGUCUGGUGGGUAGUUUGACUGGGGCGGUCUCCUCCUAAAGAGUAACGGAGGAGCACGAAGGUUGGCUAAUCCUGGUCGGACAUCAGGAGGUUAGUGCAAUGGCAUAAGCCAGCUUGACUGCGAGCGUGACGGCGCGAGCAGGUGCGAAAGCAGGUCAUAGUGAUCCGGUGGUUCUGAAUGGAAGGGCCAUCGCUCAACGGAUAAAAGGUACUCCGGGGAUAACAGGCUGAUACCGCCCAAGAGUUCAUAUCGACGGCGGUGUUUGGCACCUCGAUGUCGGCUCAUCACAUCCUGGGGCUGAAGUAGGUCCCAAGGGUAUGGCUGUUCGCCAUUUAAAGUGGUACGCGAGCUGGGUUUAGAACGUCGUGAGACAGUUCGGUCCCUAUCUGCCGUGGGCGCUGGAGAACUGAGGGGGGCUGCUCCUAGUACGAGAGGACCGGAGUGGACGCAUCACUGGUGUUCGGGUUGUCAUGCCAAUGGCACUGCCCGGUAGCUAAAUGCGGAAGAGAUAAGUGCUGAAAGCAUCUAAGCACGAAACUUGCCCCGAGAUGAGUUCUCCCUGACUCCUUGAGAGUCCUGAAGGAACGUUGAAGACGACGACGUUGAUAGGCCGGGUGUGUAAGCGCAGCGAUGCGUUGAGCUAACCGGUACUAAUGAACCGUGAGGCUUAACCUUACAACGCCGAAGGUGUUU